UCUUUGAUGGUCUAGUGGUUAUGAUUUCCGCUUGUCAAUGAUGGCGGUUAGCUGUCUAACAAGCGCGGGAGACCGGGGUUCGAUUCCCCGUCAGAGAG
This is a non-coding RNA of Byssothecium circinans, 98 nucleotides long. Lineage: Eukaryota; Fungi; Ascomycota; Dothideomycetes; Pleosporales; Massarinaceae. The record is from the annotation of a GenBank genome assembly.